This 202-nucleotide long non-coding RNA is filed under the name Ictidomys tridecemlineatus (thirteen-lined ground squirrel). RNAcentral's name for it is "lncRNA (ENSSTOG00000032430.1)". Lineage: Eukaryota; Metazoa; Chordata; Mammalia; Rodentia; Sciuridae. The record is from RNAcentral.
GGCAUAUAGAGUUUGACCUUAUUUCCCUUGGAUCAGACAGCUGGUUUUUGACAAAGCAAGGAUAUGAACCUGUGGCUUCUGUUUCCAAGUCAAGUGCACGUCUAUGAACAGAGAAGUCACUACCCUGGAGGCUAGUGACAUCCAAGAAGACUCUCAACCUUCCCUGAUUCUUUCAACAGGCUGUGUCCUGUGCCUACUCUGU